GUGAAGGUUCCAUGGUUAAAGUGAAAAUGCCUGAGGGUAUAUAAGAAGCGUCGCUCGCUGCAUCGUUGUAUAACAACUUUUCCCGUUGCUGACGAACAUCCUUUAGAAGACUGUCAUCAUGAAGUUGGCUCUAUUGGGCGUGGCCCUCCUGAUGGUUCUCUCCCUUGUGGUGGAUCUAGCAGGAGCUGUGCCGAGUCCAGACCCUUCGCCCCUCGCACUCCCAGAGGCUGAGGCCCUGGCUAGCCCAGAGGCCCUGGCAGACCCGGAGCCUUUCUUCAAGAAAAAGGGGAAAAAGAAAUCGAAGAAGCAAUCUUUCAAGAAAUCCUACUAUAGGCCUAUGCAGGUUGUUCAAAGAAAGCCUCAGUGCUACUGCUGGUGAAUUGUCUUUAAAAAAAUAAAAUAAAAAACAUCAAGAGGGACUAAAAUUCAUAAACAAUCAACAAGCACAACGAAAUAAACCCUGAUGAGAUUGACUCUAGAUAAUUACCGAAGCGCUCCCUAUUAAAAUUCAAAGCCUUGAUCGUUGGGCCUUUAAUUUUUCAUUUGCAAUCAGUGCUUAAUUUCUUAAGUACGAGGUAAGCUCAAAAAUUCCGGUAACUGAAUAACAACUUAGCCAAGAACCUUUUCACCAACACUUUAAUAUGGGUUCUCCCUUAAGAAACUCUACUCUUGGUGAUAUAGUUAUUGAUAUGAUUAUUUUUAUUAACUGAUAAAAGUCCAGAAUUAGCCAAAACUGUCAGUAGUAACCUUCAUUUCAACAGACACGGCAACGGAUAUUUUCGGGCAACUAUUCAUUGUCAUAGUUCACGAAUUUGAGGCUUUCAUUUACUUUUAGUCCUAAAAGUAUUUCUUGAUCACGAAAAAAUUUCCAGUGAAUCUGAACCUUUUUAUGACUUGGAUCUUGUACUUGCUUGAUUGUUAUUCAAGAGAAAAGUUGUAAGCGAAUAAAGAAUUAGAAAAAUUU
Macrobrachium nipponense is the source of this 964-nucleotide long non-coding RNA. RefSeq lists it as uncharacterized. The record is from RefSeq and is a predicted model, not a curated record. NCBI's taxonomy places the organism in Eukaryota, Metazoa, Arthropoda, Malacostraca, Decapoda, Palaemonidae. The transcript has 2 exons.